RNAcentral lists this ribosomal RNA (497 nucleotides) under uncultured bacterium. Its description in RNAcentral is "partial 16S ribosomal RNA". It matches the Rfam family "Bacterial small subunit ribosomal RNA", at positions 28 to 507 of the family's 1533-position model. The record is from RNAcentral.
GAUGAACGCUGGCGGCGUGCCUAAUACAUGCAAGUCGAGCGAACAGACGAGGAGCUUGCUCCUUUGACGUUAGCGGCGGACGGGUGAGUAACACGUAGAUAACCUACCUAUAAGACUGGGAUAACUUCGGGAAACCGGAGCUAAUACCGGAUAAUAUUUCGAACCGCAUGGUUCAAUAGUGAAAGAUGGCUUUGCUAUCACUUAUAGAUGGACCCGCGCCGUAUUAGCUAGUUGGUAAGGUAACGGCUUACCAAGGCAACGAUACGUAGCCGACCUGAGAGGGUGAUCGGCCACACUGGAACUGAGACACGGUCCAGACUCCUACGGGAGGCAGCAGUAGGGAAUCUUCCGCAAUGGGCGAAAGCCUGACGGAGCAACGCCGCGUGAGUGAUGAAGGUCUUCGGAUCGUAAAACUCUGUUAUUAGGGAAGAACAAACGUGUAAGUAACUGUGCACGUCUUGACGGUACCUAAUCAGAAAGCCACGGCUAACUACGUG